Molecule: ribosomal RNA, 519 nt
Filed under: Diachasmimorpha longicaudata
Lineage: Eukaryota; Metazoa; Arthropoda; Insecta; Hymenoptera; Braconidae
Description: partial 16S ribosomal RNA
Source: RNAcentral
UGGCAUCACCUGUUUAUCAAAAACAUAUUUUAAAGAAUAUUAAUUUUAAAUCAAAUCUGCCCAAUGAUUAUUAUUAAAUGGCUGCAGAAUCACUAACUGUACAAAGGUAGCAUAAUAAUUUGGUUUUUAAUUAAAACCUUGAAUGAACGAUUUAAUGAGGUAUAAACUUUAUAAAUAAAAUAAAUUUAAAUUUUUAUUUAAGUAAAAAAACUUAAAUUUAUAAAAAAGACGACAAGACCCUAUAGAAUUUUAUUUAUUUAAAAAUUAAAUUUAAUUCAUAAUAAUUUUUAAAUAAAUUUUAUUGGGGUAAUAGAAAAAUUUAACAAAUUUUUUUAAAAAUAAACAAUAAUUAUUGAAAAAAAAUCUUAAAAUUUAAAUUAACAAAAUUAAUUACCUUAGGGAUAACAGCAUAGUUUUUUUUAAAAGAUCUUAUUAAUAAAAAAGACUAUGACCUCGAUGUUGAAUAAGAUCCAGAGUCCAAAAAGACAAUAGGGUUUACGACCUCGAUGUUGAAUAAGA